GGCCCGCUGGACGCAAGCCGCCGCCUUCCUCCUAGGCGGGCUGCGCUCGGCGAGCGGGCAGCCACCGUGCCGGGCCCCGGAAUACGGGGCGUCCUCGGACGGCGGCGGCCGCAGCGCCGCUCCCUCCCUGCGGCGGCGCCCGCGGCUCGGCGGGGACGACCGCGUCGAGAGCUACGGCGACCGCGGCUGAGGGACACAACUAGGGAGACCGCGGCUGCGCGCGGCUGGGGCCCCGCGUGCGCGCCUCCGCGCUCACAACUUCCCGGCGGCCUCGAGGGCCGCCGCCGCGCUCUGCGCACGCGCGGAUCUCGGGUCUCAGCUCCGGAUUCACUGCUGACCGCCGUCCGCCUCGCGUGGGGCAGAUGCUCUGGACGCCCAACCCUGACCUGUAGCUUCUCAAACCAGCCGCUGGGACCUCGGAAGCAGCUGCAACCUUGGGACCAGAGCAGCUGCUGAUGUAUCAGAAAGCAACUGAAGCCUCCAGCCGCAAGUUUAGUGUGAAGACGUCAGUUCACAAUGCCAGUCCUGGAAAUGAAUUACUGCAAAGGAGAAAACCACACAAAGCCUAGGAGAGCAGUGAGGGGGUGGAGAGAAGAGGUGGAUGCCAGUGCCACGGCCAACAUCCUUUUGACAACACCAGCAAACGUGGAGCGAUCUGGUGCAAAUUAAAAGACCAAUGUGAGAUAUGGCUCUGUGGCUAAUAGCACGAGUUGUUCUUCCAGAAGACCCAGGCUUGAUCCCCAGCUCAACUGUUGGUGGCCAAUAACCUUCUGCUAACCGGGUCCCAGGGGAUCUGAUGCUAUCUUCUGGCAUUCUCUGGUAUUGGACACAUAAGUGGUAUACACUUGUAAAUUCUAUAAAACAGACACAAAGACACACACACACACACACAAUGGAAGACCAAUAUGAUUUGUAGAUGCUGUCUCAAAAUAGGUUGUUUUGCAGAGCUAUUCUAAGAUCAGAAAACUGUUUUGCCUUAGGCUGGGCUUGGAGAAGUCCUUGACUGCAUCCUAGUUAAGACCAGAAUAGACCUUACCAAGCUCUGUCUGAAAUCUUAGGGUAUCAGGAUACUAUUUCAGGUGGUUCCACUCUUUAAUGAGCAGACUCUGGUACUCAGGAUACUUCUUGUAACUCAACAAUUCACAAUGUAAAUGUGUUUUAAAACUAAUUAAUUUUUACUUUGGGUACACUGGUGUCUUCUAUUCCUGCACAAACAUCAGACCAAGAAAAAUUGGGGAGGAAAGGGUUUAUUCAGUUUACACUUUCCACAUUGCUGUUCAUCACCAAAGAGAGUCGGGACUAGAAUUCAAGCAGGUCAGGAAGCAGGAGCUAACACAGAGGCCAUGGAGGGAUGUUCUUUACUGGCUUGCUUCCCCUGGCUUGCUCAGCCUGCUUUCUUAUAGAACCCAAGACUACCAGCCCAGGGAUGGCACCACCACAAGGGGCCCUCCCCACU
This 1456-nucleotide long non-coding RNA is filed under the name Mus spicilegus (steppe mouse). RNAcentral's name for it is "lncRNA (ENSMSIG00000030478.1)". The record is from RNAcentral. Lineage: Eukaryota; Metazoa; Chordata; Mammalia; Rodentia; Muridae.